Molecule: ribosomal RNA, 279 nt
Filed under: uncultured bacterium
Lineage: Bacteria
Description: partial 16S ribosomal RNA
Rfam family: Bacterial small subunit ribosomal RNA
Source: RNAcentral
UGCCAGCCGCCGCGGUAACACGGGGGGCGCAAGCGUUAUUCGGAAUUAUUGGGCGUAAAGGGCGCGUAGGCGGUCUUGUCAGUCAGACGUGAAAGCCCAGGGCUCAACCCUGGAACUGCGUUUGAAACUACUUUUCUAGAGGAUAGGCGGAGAAAACGGAACUCCACAUGUAGCGGUGAAAUGCGUAGAUAUGUGGAAGAACACCCGUGGCGAAAGCGGUUUUCUAGCUUAUUCCUGACGCUCAGGCCCGAAAGCUAGGGGAGCAAACAGGAUUAGAUA